UACGUAGGGUGCAAGCGUUGUCCGGAAUUAUUGGGCGUAAAGGGCUCGUAGGCGGUCCGUCACGUCGGGAGUGAAAUCCUGGGGCUUAACCCCAGAGCUGCUUCCGAUACGGGCAGACUAGAGGUAGGUAGGGGAGAAUGGAAUUCCUGGUGUAGCGGUGGAAUGCGCAGAUAUCAGGAGGAACACCAGUGGCGAAGGCGGUUCUCUGGGCCUUACUUGACGCUGAGGAGCGAAAGCGUGGGGAGCAAACAGG
RNAcentral lists this ribosomal RNA (253 nucleotides) under uncultured bacterium. RNAcentral's name for it is "partial 16S ribosomal RNA". It matches the Rfam family "Bacterial small subunit ribosomal RNA", at positions 524 to 776 of the family's 1533-position model. The record is from RNAcentral.